Long non-coding RNA from Homarus americanus (American lobster), 491 nucleotides. RefSeq lists it as uncharacterized. The transcript has 3 exons. Lineage: Eukaryota; Metazoa; Arthropoda; Malacostraca; Decapoda; Nephropidae. The record is from RefSeq and is a predicted model, not a curated record.
GACAUCCUUCUAUUCCGCUAUUGAUUAGUAAAGGCGAUUUAUUCAUUCUAAAAUCAUGCAGGAGGACCCCCCUUUGCCUCACGGACAAAUAGCAAAGCGUGGGAAAGAGGUGGCAGGACGAGGUGUGGGCGGUACAUAGAAAUAAGCAACCUCGGCUGGAAUGAGUAUGUGCGGGGAGGGCGUGGCGUGGAAGGAAGAGCCACAGGGAAGGGAGUAGUAUGGUAGCCAGUGUGGAGGUGGGGGAGCACUGGUGAACCGUGUGCAACCUUAAACUUCUUAAUACAACAUAAACACUCAGGUUAGGAUUAAUGUCAGGAUGCAGCCACCUCCAAGAAAGGGCAACUACCUUAAAGUUUGUAAGAAUCUACACAGUGAGCAAAUCUCCAAGUUACUGGCGAAGAACCAACAGGAGUGUGACUUGUUAGAGGAUAUAAGAAAUUUCACAAAACAGAGAUCCUCGAUAGAAAAGAGUUAUGGGGAGGUAAGUGGAC